RNAcentral lists this ribosomal RNA (300 nucleotides) under Triticum aestivum (bread wheat). RNAcentral describes it as "partial small subunit ribosomal RNA". The record is from RNAcentral. Lineage: Eukaryota; Viridiplantae; Streptophyta; Magnoliopsida; Poales; Poaceae.
AUGACCGCGGACAGCGAGCUCUUCCUCGAGGUCAUCCUUCUGGAUAAGGGGCGCAUCUUUCGCGGCCAGAGCUCGCUCGUGGACGUUGGCGGCGGCAACGGCGCGGGCACGCGUGUGAUCGCCAAGGCGUUCCCGCGCAUCGAGUGCACCGUGCUGGAGCUCCCUCAGGUCUUCGGCAAAGCCGCCGGUGACCAUGGCAACCUGCGUUUCGUCGCAGGUGACAUGUUUGAAUCCCUUUCACCCGCGGAUGUUGUCUUGCUCAAGGGAGGCAUGUCUAUGUACCCCAUCGACAUCACCUAG